AUACCAGCAGGGGAGAUCACCAUGACUAGGAAAGUGAUUUCACAGGGGGCAAGCCUCUUUCAUUGCACUUGGGAUUUUCUGUGGCCCUGCAAUUUCCCCAAUUGGGGGAAACUCCACUCCAUACUUUGUGACAGGUGGUGGACUGUAUACAUGCUUUUUUCCC
Small nuclear RNA from Arvicola amphibius (Eurasian water vole), 163 nucleotides. RefSeq annotates it as U1 spliceosomal RNA. NCBI's taxonomy places the organism in Eukaryota, Metazoa, Chordata, Mammalia, Rodentia, Cricetidae. The record is from RefSeq and is a predicted model, not a curated record. The transcript has a single exon.